UAUUAACGUGGAUUUGGACGACAAUAGGUUUUUAGUUUGUGAUGUUUCAUGUGAUGAUCAUUUUCUUGUUCAUCGUCUUUGAAUUGAAAUGAGGAUAUCUAUGGAAAAGUAACUAAUCUGAAAGUAAGCCAACAUAUCGUUUGUCCUUUGUGUGCUAAAGAAAAGAUUUUCUUUUCGCAUCAUGAGGAAGUAUUACAUCAAUUAAAAAAUGUUAGGAAGUUGAUUACUUGUCAUGGAAAAGUAUACCAAUGGAAAUUAUUUGUUAAAGAAGUAUAAUUCUAAGGGUUUUAAGAAUAAAUUGGUUGAACCCAAAAUCUGGAGGAAGUACCUAUAUCCAUACACAGAAUAUGCCCAUUAAAAAUACUAGUCCAAAUUUGCUUUAAUGGUAGACAAUUAUUCAAUACAAAUUAACUUUUUAAGUGACUGAAAUAUUAAAUAGUUUAGAAUAUGGUAUAACAAUGUAAAAAAAUAUUAUUUUCAGGAACGAUUAGGGCCCGAUAUAUUUGAAACUCAUGUUGGACAUAGUAUUGAGUUGGGUAGAAUAUUAUUCUACGUUAAGUGAGGGUAUCAGAUACCUAUUAUUGUACUGUAUUUUAAUAUAUACAUUAGAAUUGUUGGUUUUUUCAUAUUUGUUUUAUUUAUUAUUUUACUUACAAGUUAUAUAAAGUUAACACUAAAAUCUACUUUUUGACUUAUAUAAGUUAGUCUGUGGUUUAAUGCGUGAUUACAUCCACAUGAUUUCAAGUUUUUAAAAUAUAAAUAUUAUAACUGGCUUUAAAAACUCCAUUAAACUGUUAAAAGUGUAAUUUAUUUCAAAAUAAAUAUACAUAUAUAGGUAUAUAUUAAUAUCGAAAAACAUUUUUAUUUCCUUAACACCAAUUUAAUCAUCACAUACAUAUGUAUAAACAUUUAUUUACGUUAUUUCAAAUGAAGACCACAGGAAAAACCAGCUUUGUUCAUUUUAACUGGAGCCGAGAAAAUGCAAUUACGAGUGAACUACUCUGGUUUUUCUCCUGUAGGG
This 1021-nucleotide long non-coding RNA is filed under the name Sitophilus oryzae (rice weevil). Its description in RNAcentral is "uncharacterized LOC115874853". The record is from RNAcentral. Lineage: Eukaryota; Metazoa; Arthropoda; Insecta; Coleoptera; Curculionidae.